Molecule: microRNA precursor, 96 nt
Filed under: Podarcis lilfordi (Lilford's wall lizard)
Lineage: Eukaryota; Metazoa; Chordata; Lepidosauria; Squamata; Lacertidae
Source: RNAcentral
UCUCCAGCUGUUUUUGGACUGCAAUUCCCAUCAUCCCUGACCACUGGUCUUGCUAAAUAGGGAUGAUGGGAGUUGUAGUCCAAAAACAGCUGGAGA